CUGGAAGGGAAGCAGCAACACUUGCUGAUCUACUUGAUCACAAACUGGUCACUGUCACAGUGGGAAGGUGUCAACCGUCAACGACAACUUACCAGCGGCCCCUGCAGACUGCAGCACCUUCUCCAGCCCCAUCAACACAGACAGUUCAGGUGGCAUCCUGGUGAAUUGAGGCAAUUGGCCUCAGACAAAACACGAAUGAGCAGCUCCUGGCGCACCUCAUCCAGCCUGAUCACAAAACAACCAUGAAACGUGAAGACAUCCCAGAGAGAUCAGGGUUGGGAAAACCACCACCUUCACCAGUUUGCCGGGAGAUGCUGAUCUUGAGCGCCAUCAGAUCACGCCCUGAGGUGUAUGGACCGUUAUUUUCCCACCUGUCCUACCUUCCUUGUGUACAGUAAUGUGUGCGUGGAGGGAUGCCAGAGAGAGCGUGUUCACCCUUCACAGGGUGGAGCUGGGCAGAGUCCUGACUUUGGAAGGUGAUGCACAAACCUAAGGAUCUAUGUAAACAGAGGAAUAAACAUUGCCAUUUGUAAUAGGCGGAGUAGCUGUGUCUGCCCCGGCCCUGCAGGCCCCAGCAGGUGGCCCUACGAGGGGCCCUGGUAUCCCCUGACACCUAUGCCUAUGCUACGGGCUCCCUUGGGCUUCAGACAACUGAGGCAGAUGUACUUGCUUUUAGUGUGCUCAGAAAAUGACUUCUUCCCCAUAAAUAAUGCAAAGGUAUGGGUUAGUUCAGUCCUAGAGAGGUCUGUACUUGAUUUAUGCUUGGAGCAAGGGAUGUGUGCAUGUGUUGAAUUUAUUUUUAAUCCUUAAUAAAUUUUCAUUUAUUUCACUGGUAAAGGCUUGCCUUCCUCUCAAGGGCAUCUUUAAGUGGGAAAACACAGGCCCCAAACUGUAGGAUUUAAGAGGCACGUGCACUCCUGUGAAGGCUCCCCUCCUCGACUGGGGGUGUGGGUGCUGUGCAGGCCCCUCUGAAGGGCCCUCUCCAGAGGACAAGGACCAGCUCAGCUGAACUGACCAACAUUCCUAUCCUCCAGUU
Manis javanica (Malayan pangolin) is the source of this 1036-nucleotide non-coding RNA. The record is from RefSeq and is a predicted model, not a curated record. NCBI's taxonomy places the organism in Eukaryota, Metazoa, Chordata, Mammalia, Pholidota, Manidae.